GAUGAACGCUGGCGGCGUGCCUAAUACAUGCAAGUAGAACGCUGAAGGAGGAGCUUGCUCUUCUGGAUGAGUUGCGAACGGGUGAGUAACGCGUAGGUAACCUGCCUGGUAGCGGGGGAUAACUAUUGGAAACGAUAGCUAAUACCGCAUGACAACAGUUAUUGCAUGAUAACUGUUUAAAAGGGGCAACUGCUCCACUACCAGAUGGACCUGCGUUGUAUUAGCUAGUUGGUGAGGUAACGGCUCACCAAGGCGACGAUACAUAGCCGACCUGAGAGGGUGAUCGGCCACACUGGGACUGAGACACGGCCCAGGCGCCUACGGGAGGCAGCAGUAGGGAAUCUUCGGCAAUGGACGGAAGUCUGACCGAGCAACGCCGCGUGAGUGAAGAAGGUUUUCGGAUCGUAAAGCUCUGUUGUAAGAGAAGAACGAGUGUGAGAGUGGAAAGUUCACACUGUGACGGUAUCUUACCAGAAAGGGACGGCUAACUACGUG
This 495-nucleotide ribosomal RNA is filed under the name uncultured bacterium. Its description in RNAcentral is "partial 16S ribosomal RNA". It matches the Rfam family "Bacterial small subunit ribosomal RNA", at positions 28 to 507 of the family's 1533-position model. The record is from RNAcentral.